RNAcentral lists this ribosomal RNA (274 nucleotides) under uncultured bacterium. Its description in RNAcentral is "partial 16S ribosomal RNA". It matches the Rfam family "Bacterial small subunit ribosomal RNA", at positions 523 to 796 of the family's 1533-position model. The record is from RNAcentral.
AUACGGAGGGUGCAAGCGUUAUCCGGAUUUAUUGGGUUUAAAGGGUGCGCAGGCGGAUAAUUAAGUCAGUGGUGAAAUCCUCCCGCUCAACGGGAGAACUGCCAUUGAUACUGAUAAUCUGGAAUACGGUUGAAGUGGGCGGAAUGUAGCAUGUAGCGGUGAAAUGCAUAGAGAUGCUACAGAACACCGAUCGCGAAGGCAGCUCACUAAACCGAUAUUGACGCUCAGGCACGAAAGCGUGGGUAGCGAACAGGAUUAGAAACCCCAGUAGUCC